CAGGGGAAGGUUCGUCCGCCCUGGGUUAGUCGGGACCUAAGCUGAGGCCGAAAGGCGUAGGUGAUGGACAACAGGUUGAUAUUCCUGUACUACCGAUAACCGGUUGAGAGAAGGGAUGACACAGUAGGAUAAGCUAAGCACACUGUUGGUUAUGUGUGCCCAAGCAUUGAGGCAGUCAAAGUAGGCAAAUCCGCUUUGAUAAUGC
Molecule: ribosomal RNA, 205 nt
Filed under: Clostridioides difficile
Lineage: Bacteria; Bacillati; Bacillota; Clostridia; Peptostreptococcales; Peptostreptococcaceae
Description: partial 23S ribosomal RNA
Rfam family: Bacterial large subunit ribosomal RNA
Source: RNAcentral